Long non-coding RNA from Eptesicus fuscus (big brown bat), 837 nucleotides. RefSeq lists it as uncharacterized. The transcript has 4 exons. The record is from RefSeq and is a predicted model, not a curated record. NCBI's taxonomy places the organism in Eukaryota, Metazoa, Chordata, Mammalia, Chiroptera, Vespertilionidae.
CCUGUGUGACAGAGUCUGGCAUUGGGAUGAUGAUACUCUCUGUGUUUUUAAACUCAUUUUUAAAUAACAUACAAGAAUCUAGGGAUAACCCACUGCAUCUCCACUCUCCUCAAAGUGAUCUAAUGUCUGAAAAGGGCUUGCAGGCAUUUCUGAAUUGGUUCCACGUGGAUUUUCUAAAGAGGAGCUGAAGAACCAUGGAACCAGAAACAUCAUUUCUCAAAGAGAAAGAAAUGGAAGGGUGCAUGAGUGAGAGAGCUUCUAUCCUCUGCCUAACCUUCCCAAACUCCAGUCUAGGAUCCAUGCAUUUCCUCCUUACAGGCCCGCCCCGACGUGCGCGCCCGCGGCGAAGGAAGACCGGGGCCUCCCGGAGCCCCUGCGCAGCCGGCUCCGGAGAGCUGGCCCGCAGGGACGUCACGACCCUUCUGGUGUUAGAAGAGCUCCCGGAAUCAUCCUUUCGUCGCGUGCUUCCCCCAAGUCACCUCAAACCACCCUUCACCAACUCGAGAUACCAACCGCCUCGGAUGCCGGCUGUGCGCUCGUUGGCUCGCGAGGCUCGUGCACGCGCGAGCCGGGAGCAUGCGCUUCGGAGAUUCGCCGAGAAGUCCCUUUCCUCCGAGACACUUCAGUGCGCACGCGCACGCUUUGAGUCCCCAGGCCUUUUCACACUGGUAUUCCCGAAUUCCCAAUCCUUAUCCCCUUUUAGCAUGGCAUGAAAAACUGUUUCUAGUAAUUUUUACCUUUGUGUUUCCUCUUUCCCGUUUCUCCUUUGCACGCACUACCAUUUAAUUCAAUAUAUUAUUUGCUCAUUGUCUUCUCUCACGAGAAUGAAAACCAUAU